Molecule: long non-coding RNA, 1401 nt
Filed under: Bos indicus x Bos taurus (hybrid cattle)
Lineage: Eukaryota; Metazoa; Chordata; Mammalia; Artiodactyla; Bovidae
Description: lncRNA (ENSBIXG00005005314.1)
Source: RNAcentral
CUAAUGAUGCAUGGCCGAUGCAUAGAACAUCCUCAAAAAGCUAAUAUCUUGGUUAUUCAAAUGGAUUUCUUUCUUAGAAGGACUGAAGGAAUACCUCCCAGAUAGGUCAUAUUGCCAUAAAAGUUAGUUCCUAUAGAAAAGGACAGGUGCAAAAAACCCUGGCAUACUGUUUCCUAUCACACAACGCAAGUAACUUUAUGUUUUUCCUUUUCCUUGGAUCUAACUUUAAUACUUUGUUAAUAUUACUGAUAUAUUUUCUGUGUCCUUUAAUGCUGCUCUUAUUUCUGCAUCCUUUAUAGACAAUUACUUGCCAAUGCAAAGGGUUUAUAUACAAAAGAAAAGUUUAGGUGUUGUUUGUAUUUUUGAAUAUUUAAUAUUAGCCUGAAAAGAAUCAUUUGUUCUUUUAGGCCUAUAAGGAAAACACUGUAUGAAAAGAAGAAGGUAUAGAAAAAAAAAAAAAGAAGAAGAACUUUCAAAAAUAUCCUUGUUGAAAAUACUAUUGUCAAAGGAAUAGUGGUAAAAUAGAAAAUCUUCCUUUGUUGUAGAGAAGUUUACUUUGAACACAUCAUUUAGAAACACUGUUGAUAAAGUUAUCCUUUUGUUAAAAAUCUCUUAUUUUAAGAAAUGUCUGAUUUUGUUUUGAUAUGGAGAUUUAUUACCUCUGUACACUUGGUGUAUUUAUACAUAUUUUAAGGACAUUGUGAAACAGUAUUGUUUACAUGUAGGUCAAAGAACAAAUUAAUUACAUGAACGAACUGGAUGACUUAACUCAGUUGUCCGAGACUGUUUCUGAGGAUGGUGAUGUGCUUUACUCUAUGAAUUCCACGUUGCAAGUAGAACCUCUCGAUGUGGGGUGUAAAGAUUCUGUUAGCUUGUUGAAAAUUCAGGAUAAAAUUCUUUUGCAUGAAAGAUUAGUAGAUUUUCAAAGAAGCCAAAGAAGCCACUGUGAAUUACUUAGAGGAUAAUUUUACAGAAUGAAAAGUAAGGUUCGUGGGCUAAAAAAGAGCUGUCAGAAACCAAAGAAGUGAAAUCACAGUUAGGCCAUCAGAAAGUGGAAUGGGAAUGAGAGCUCAGCAGCUUGAGGUACUGUACACCUUGCUUUUAAAGAAACAUUUGAACUAUUGUUUCCUUUAAUACUGCAGAAAUGUAGAUGUGUUAUAAGGACUAAUUUAUCCUCUAGGAUUUUACAGAGGAGAAAGUGUUACUAGUAUUGUGGAGUGUGAAAUUCUUGGAAAUAAUAUAGUAGGUUCCUAACAGUGAAUGCUUCUAAUAAUGUAUAUUUUUCCAAAUUAUCAUUUUAGUGACCAUACAGAAGUUCAGCAUAAUGGAAAGCCCAUUAAAGAUUUACCAAAUUCACUUUCAGUUGUUUUUCACUUUUCUGUAUUCUAUUUAAUAUUGCAA